UUCUCUUUCACACACACCCACACUCCGUGCCCAGGGGAGGAGGGCGGGCGGGAGCGCCACCCUCCCCAGCCCUGCCCCCUUGCGGCCCUGGCGUCCUCGGCUCCUCUUCACGUCACUUACAAGCUCCGGCAGCCCCGAGACUGUACCGAGAGGGUAAUUCCUGCUCGUCUGAUUCAGAUCUGACCAGAAUAUGCAAAGCAAGUUCGAAGGAAGCGCUUCAAAGCGCUUGCAGGGAGCGAGCUGAGCUGUGGUCAAAGCUUUUAGAGGCUCCGAGCUAUUAGAGGCGCUUGGCUCUUUGGCAGGGAGGUUUUCCGAGAAAGCCAGACUACAGGGUCCUGGUGAUGACCCCUGACCUCGGCGCAGCUGGGUUCACGGCAGGUGGGGCUCUCCCCAGGGGCUCUGCUCCCCACUCCACCUCCGGCUCCCCACCUAGUUCCUUGGAACCCCAGCCUGAGCCGUGGGUGGGGUGGUCCCCGACCAUCUCUUCCUCUAGCUCUUUGCUCACUCCCACCCCCGGGGCCCUUGGAGGCCACCUGGAUUAGCCUUCCCAGCCACCCCCACCAGGCUGAUGUUCUCACCCCACAUUCCCAGGCACGGCUGUGUGUCCACGGGAGCAGGGACUUGGACCGGUCACUUCUGAUGCCUAGAACGGUGCUCAGUCAAUAUUUGUGGACUCGUUGGGGGCAGCCACUCGGGUUCACAGAGGUGAAGCGACCUGCCAAGGACACGCCAUUUGGGAAUGUGGGAAAGACACAGGGGUGACCCUAGGAGCAGUCUUCCCGAAGCCCCGAGUACACGCCCAGGGCUGCCCUUGGGUGGAGCGCCAGGAGGUAGUGGCACCACCACCAGGAUGCGGGUCUCAGCACUAAGGCUCUGCAAAAAACAAACAAAAAAGACCUUUCCUGUGGCAUUUCCUCCCCCAAGCCCCCCAGACCCGACAGGUGGAGGGAUGACUGGCAGCCCCAAGUCAGGGGCUGCGUCCCCAUCCCUGAGCCGCAAAUGCCUGAAACAUGCCGGCCCCCAACGAGCUGCCCCAGGACCCAGCGUCCAAAAGGCACCCGAGAGCAAAUAAACAACGUUGUGUUUCUUUCCCAUUUCCUGACCUUUUGGGGAAAAUAACCUAAAGUGACCAGGCCCGGCGUCACUCCGUCCGCUGAGUGGACAGAGUACGUAGGAACCACACGAGGGAGACCCCCGCCUCUGCGACUGGGAACACAGACCAGAUAACGAUAACGUCACCUUCCCAGAGCACCAGGUCAGGGGAGGGGACCCAGUGGGCCUGGCUCCGCAGGGCCUCCCGGGAGGAUGAGCGCCUGGCAGGCUCUUCCCGGCCCUGGGCCUGCCAGUCGGCCGCCAUCUGCCUUCCAGGGUACCUUGAACCUGGAGCACACGGAGGCCCCCUCCCGGCUCAGGAGGCAGCUGUUAGCCGGGGUGUCCAGGGACCACAGGACCCUAACAAAAUGGAGUGGCCUGGACCCCUGGCUGAAGGAAGACCCCCUGACCCCUUUCCCUUGAUGACUACUCCAGCCUCUCCCCAUCUCCUCUUCUGUCUCCUCCAUUUCCAGCCCACAGACUGGGCGACCCUCUGGUUUUGCACACUGAGGCCCAGAGAAGGAAAGCAACUUGCUUCAGGUCACACAGCAAGCGAGUGGCCAAGGCAGAGCAAGAAUCCCUCCCAGAGCCCCUCUCCUCCUCCUCCUCCUCUCCUGCGGCAAAGAUCUCCCAGUUCUUUCAGGGGCAGACACCCCCACCUCCAAAGGACUUAAUGGGGGGCUCUCUGCCCUGGCGCUAGAGGAGGGGUUCCGCCUGCUUCCAGGAUUUGCUGAGAAGCAUCCUGCAGGGCGUGGGGACAGUUCCCGGUGGCUUCAGCAGGUACCAAAGCCUCCGUGGCUUUAAGAAGAGGACAGCUGGGGUCCCCUGGCCCCUGGACGGGGGGAGCUCGCCACUCCCACCCUGUGCCCUCGCUGCUGUGGACUCUAAAAACAUUGCUAUACUGUACAGCAAGCGUCAAACUUGCGGCCCGCCGCCCGCAUGCGGCCCACAACGAAUAUUUUUGCAGCCCGGCCAAUAUAACGCUAUGUAAGAAACGUUUCAAUAAAAAUUUUGUGACUUAA
Long non-coding RNA from Myotis brandtii (Brandt's bat), 2114 nucleotides. RefSeq lists it as uncharacterized. NCBI's taxonomy places the organism in Eukaryota, Metazoa, Chordata, Mammalia, Chiroptera, Vespertilionidae. The transcript is spliced from 2 exons. The record is from RefSeq and is a predicted model, not a curated record.